GACGAACGCUGGCGGCGUGCUUAACACAUGCAAGUCGAACGCUGAAGCUCAGCUUUUGUUGGGUGGAUGAGUGGCGAACGGGUGAGUAACACGUGAGUAACCUGCCCCCUUCUUUGGGAUAACGCCCGGAAACGGGUGCUAAUACUGGAUAUUCACUGGUCUUCGCAUGGGGGUUGGUGGAAAGGGUUUUUCUGGUGGGGGAUGGGCUCGCGGCCUAUCAGCUUGUUGGUGGGGUGAUUGCCUACCAAGGCUUUGACGGGUAGCCGGCCUGAGAGGGUGACCGGUCACAUUGGGACUGAGAUACGGCCCAGACUCCUACGGGAGGCAGCAGUGGGGAAUAUUGCACAAUGGGCGCAAGCCUGAUGCAGCGACGCCGCGUGAGGGAUGGAGGCCUUCGGGUUGUGAACCUCUUUCGCUCAUGGUCAAGCCGCAACAAUGGUUGUGGUGAGGGUAGUGGGUAAAGAAGCGCCGGCUAACUACGUG
This 483-nucleotide ribosomal RNA is filed under the name uncultured bacterium. RNAcentral's name for it is "partial 16S ribosomal RNA". It matches the Rfam family "Bacterial small subunit ribosomal RNA", at positions 28 to 507 of the family's 1533-position model. The record is from RNAcentral.